CUCAACCUGGGAAUGGCAUUCGAUACUGUCCAGCUAGAGUCUGGUAGAGGGAAGUGGAAUUUCCGGUGUAGCGGUGAAAUGCGUAGAUAUCGGAAGGAACACCAGUGGCGAAGGCGACUUCCUGGACCAAGACUGACGCUGAGGUGCGAAAGCGUGGGUAGCAAACAGGAUUAGAUACCCUGGUAGUCCACGCCGUAAACGUUGAGAACUAGCCGUUGGACCCAUUUAAGGGUUUAGUGGCGCAGCUAACGCAACAAGUUCUCCGCCUGGGGAGUACGGCCGCAAGGCUAAAACUCAAAGGAAUUGACGGGGGCCCGCACAAGCGGUGGAGCAUGUGGUUUAAUUCGAUGCAACGCGAAGAACCUUACCUGCCCUUGACAUCCUCGGAACUUGGUAGAGAUACCUUGGUGCCUUCGGGAGCCG
RNAcentral lists this ribosomal RNA (423 nucleotides) under uncultured Gammaproteobacteria bacterium. RNAcentral describes it as "bacterial SSU rRNA". It matches the Rfam family "Bacterial small subunit ribosomal RNA", at positions 608 to 1029 of the family's 1533-position model. The record is from RNAcentral. Lineage: Bacteria; Pseudomonadati; Pseudomonadota; Gammaproteobacteria.